RNAcentral lists this ribosomal RNA (639 nucleotides) under uncultured bacterium. RNAcentral describes it as "bacterial SSU rRNA". It matches the Rfam family "Bacterial small subunit ribosomal RNA", at positions 232 to 885 of the family's 1533-position model. The record is from RNAcentral.
CGCGGCCUAUCAGCUUGUUGGUGGGGUAAUGGCCUACCAAGGCGACGACGGGUAGCCGGCCUGAGAGGGCGACCGGCCACGCUGGGACUGAGACACGGCCCAGACUCCUACGGGAGGCAGCAGUGGGGAAUAUUGCACAAUGGGCGCAAGCCUAAUGCAGCAACGCCGCGUGCGGGAAGAAGGCCCUAGGGUUGUAAACCGCUUUCAGCAGGGAAGAAAAUGACGGUACCUGCAGAAGAAGGUGCGGCCAACUACGUGCCAGCAGCCGCGGUGACACGUAGGCACCAAGCGUUGUCCGGAAUCAUUGGGCGUAAAGAGCUCGUAGGCGGUUUGGUAAGUCGGAUGUGAAAUCUCCACGCUCAACGUGGAGCGGCCAUUCGAUACUGCCAUGACUUGAGUCCGGUAGAGGAGUGCGGAAUUCCAAGUGUAGCGGUGAAAUGCGCAGAUAUUUGGAGGAACACCAGUAGCGAAGGCGACACUCUGGGCCGGUACUGACGCUGAGGAGCGAAAGCGUGGGGAGCGAACAGGAUUAGAUACCCUGGUAGUCCACGCCGUAAACGUUGGGCACUAGGUGUGGGGCUCUAUCGACGAGCUCCGUGCCGUAGCUAACGCAUUAAGUGCCCCGCCUGGGGAGUACGG